RNAcentral lists this ribosomal RNA (254 nucleotides) under uncultured bacterium. Its description in RNAcentral is "partial 16S ribosomal RNA". It matches the Rfam family "Bacterial small subunit ribosomal RNA", at positions 524 to 776 of the family's 1533-position model. The record is from RNAcentral.
UACGGGGGGAGCAAGCGUUGUUCGGAUUUACUGGGCGUAAAGGGCGCGUAGGCGGUCAGCACAAGUCAGUUGUGAAAUCUCCGGGCUUAACUCGGAACGGUCAACUGAUACUGUGCGACUAGAGUGCAGAAGGGGCAACUGGAAUUCUCGGUGUAGCGGUGAAAUGCGUAGAGAUCGGGCGGAACACCAGCGGCGAAGGCGGCAUCCUGGCCCUAUCCUGACGCUGAGGCGCGAGAGCGUGGGGAGCAAACCGG